This 280-nucleotide ribosomal RNA is filed under the name uncultured bacterium. RNAcentral describes it as "partial 16S ribosomal RNA". It matches the Rfam family "Bacterial small subunit ribosomal RNA", at positions 834 to 1116 of the family's 1533-position model. The record is from RNAcentral.
UUUUUCUAAGUGGAUAAGCGAAAGUGAUAAGUAUCCCACCUGGGGAGUACGUUCGCAAGAAUGAAACUCAAAGGAAUUGACGGGGGCCCGCACAAGCGGUGGAGCAUGUGGUUUAAUUUGAUGAUACGCAAGGAACCUUACCAAGGCUUAAAUGUAUGAUGACAGGAUUAGAGAUAAUUUUUUCUUCGGACAUUAUACAAGGUGCUGCAUGGUUGUCGUCAGCUCGUGCCGUGAGGUGUCAGGUUAAGUCCUAUAACGAGCGCAACCCUUGUUGUUAGUU